GAUGAACGCUGGCGGCGUGCCUAAUACAUGCAAGUCGAGCGAACAGACGAGGAGCUUGCUCCUCUGACGUUAGCGGCGGACGGGUGAGUAACACGUGGAUAACCUACCUAUAAGACUGGGAUAACUUCGGGAAACCGGAGCUAAUACCGGAUAAUAUAUUGAACCGCAUGGUUCAAUAGUGAAAGACGGUUUUGCUGUCCCUUAUAGAUGGAUCCGCGCCGCAUUAGCUAGUUGGUAAGGUAACGGCUUACCAAGGCAACGAUGCGUAGCCGACCUGAGAGGGUGAUCGGCCACACUGGAACUGGGACACGGUCCAGACUCCUACGGGAGGCAGCAGUAGGGAAUCUUCCGCAAUGGGCGAAAGCCUGACGGAGCAACGCCGCGUGAGUGAUGAAGGUCUUCGGAUCGUAAAACUCUGUUAUUAGGGAAGAACAAAUGUGUAAGUAACUAUGCACGUCUUGACGGUACCUAAUCAGAAAGCCACGGCUAACUACGUG
This 497-nucleotide ribosomal RNA is filed under the name uncultured bacterium. Its description in RNAcentral is "partial 16S ribosomal RNA". It matches the Rfam family "Bacterial small subunit ribosomal RNA", at positions 28 to 507 of the family's 1533-position model. The record is from RNAcentral.